Molecule: ribosomal RNA, 412 nt
Filed under: uncultured bacterium
Lineage: Bacteria
Description: bacterial SSU rRNA
Rfam family: Bacterial small subunit ribosomal RNA
Source: RNAcentral
AGUGAACGCUGGCGGCAGGCCUAACACAUGCAAGUCGAGCGGCAGCGCGUCCGACCACCCUCGGGUGGUCGGAUGGCGGCGAGCGGCGGACGGGUGAGGAAUGCAUCGGAAUCUGCCUCGUUGUGGGGGAUAACGUAGGGAAACUUACGCUAAUACCGCAUACGACCUACGGGUGAAAGUGGGGGACCUUCGGGCCUCACGCGAUGAGAUGAGCCGAUGCCGGAUUAGCUAGUUGGCGGGGUAAAGGCCCACCAAGGCGACGAUCCGUAGCUGGUCUGAGAGGAUGAUCAGCCACACUGGAACUGAGACACGGUCCAGACUCCUACGGGAGGCAGCAGUGGGGGAAUAUUGGACAAUGGGGGCAACCCUGAUCCAGCCAUGCCGCGUGUGUGAAGAAGGCCUCGGUUGUAAG